This 786-nucleotide ribosomal RNA is filed under the name uncultured Pelagibacteraceae bacterium. RNAcentral describes it as "bacterial SSU rRNA". It matches the Rfam family "Bacterial small subunit ribosomal RNA", at positions 35 to 869 of the family's 1533-position model. The record is from RNAcentral. Lineage: Bacteria; Pseudomonadati; Pseudomonadota; Alphaproteobacteria; Candidatus Pelagibacterales; Candidatus Pelagibacteraceae.
GCUGGCGGCACGCCUAACACAUGCAAGUCGAACGAAGUAGCAAUACUUAGUGGCAGACGGGUGAGUAACAUGUAGGUAUCUGCCCUUUGGCCUGGAAUAACACGAGGAAACUUGUGCUAAUACCGGAUAAGUCUUUACGGAGAAAGCUUUAUGCACCAUUGGAUGAGCCUGCACUUGAUUAGUUUGUUGGUGGGGUAAUGGCCCACCAAGACUUUGAUCAAUAGCUGAUUUGAGAGGAUGAUCAGCCACAUUGGGACUGAGACACGGCCCAAACUCCUACGGGAGGCAGCAGUGGGGAAUCUUGCACAAUGGAGGAAACUCUGAUGCAGCGAUGCCGCGUGAGUGAAGAAGGCCUUUGGGUUGUAAAGCUCUUUCGUCGGGGAAGAAAAUGACUGUACCCGAAUAAGAAGGUCCGGCUAACUUCGUGCCAGCAGCCGCGGUAAUACGAAGGGACCUAGCGUAGUUCGGAAUUACUGGGCUUAAAGAGUUCGUAGGUGGUUGAAAAAGUUAGUGGUGAAAUCCCAGAGCUUAACUCUGGAACUGCCAUUAAAACUUUUCAGCUAGAGUAUGAUAGAGGAAAGCAGAAUUUCUAGUGUAGAGGUGAAAUUCGUAGAUAUUAGAAAGAAUACCAAUUGCGAAGGCAGCUUUCUGGAUCAUUACUGACACUGAGGAACGAAAGCAUGGGUAGCGAAGAGGAUUAGAUACCCUCGUAGUCCAUGCCGUAAACGAUGUGUGUUAGACGUUGGAAAUUUAUUUUCAGUGUCGCAGCGAAAGCGAUAAACACAC